GGCCAGGUAGCCAAGUAGCAAGGCAAGGGUCUGCAAAACCCUUAUACGCGGGUGCAAAUCCCGCCCUGGCCU
Molecule: non-coding RNA, 72 nt
Organism: Candidatus Omnitrophica bacterium 4484_213
Lineage: Bacteria; Pseudomonadati; Candidatus Omnitrophota
Source: Rfam